AGUGAACGCUGGCGGUAGGCCUAACACAUGCAAGUCGAACGGCAGCACAGGAGAGCUUGCUCUCUGGGUGGCGAGUGGCGGACGGGUGAGGAAUACAUCGGAAUCUACUCUGUCGUGGGGGAUAACGUAGGGAAACUUACGCUAAUACCGCAUACGACCUACGGGUGAAAGCAGGGGACCUUCGGGCCUUGCGCGAUUGAAUGAGCCGAUGUCGGAUUAGCUAGUUGGCGGGGUAAAGGCCCACCAAGGCGACGAUCCGUAGCUGGUCUGAGAGGAUGAUCAGCCCGACUGGAACUGAGACACGGUCCAGACUCCUACGGGAGGCAGCAGUGGGGAAUAUUGGACAAUGGGCGCAAGCCUGAUCCAGCCAUACCGCGUGGGUGAAGAAGGCCUUCGGGUUGUAAAGCCCUUUUGUUGGGAAAGAAAUCCAGCUGGCUAAUACCCGGUUGGGAUGACGGUACCCAAAGAAUAAGCACCGGCUAACUUCGUGCCAGCCGCCGCGGUAA
RNAcentral lists this ribosomal RNA (506 nucleotides) under uncultured bacterium. RNAcentral describes it as "partial 16S ribosomal RNA". It matches the Rfam family "Bacterial small subunit ribosomal RNA", at positions 29 to 523 of the family's 1533-position model. The record is from RNAcentral.